ACUCCAUGUGCUCGUUGAGGACCUAGACUGAUGAAACGAAGCCAUCCUAACAUUUGCUUCUGAGACUGCAAUGGUGAUUUCAAUCUCAGCUAGCCAAAAGAGCAAAGGGGCUUGAAGAAGCAUGUGUUGGAGAUUCCAGGGCUAAACCUGGAAGUCACAUGUCUCGAAAGUUAACAUCACUACAUCUUAACUCUAAGGAGACUGGGAAAUAUAAUUCAGGG
RNAcentral lists this long non-coding RNA (221 nucleotides) under Callithrix jacchus (white-tufted-ear marmoset). Its description in RNAcentral is "lncRNA (ENSCJAG00000086903.1)". The record is from RNAcentral. Lineage: Eukaryota; Metazoa; Chordata; Mammalia; Primates; Cebidae.